Zonotrichia leucophrys gambelii is the source of this 494-nucleotide long non-coding RNA. RefSeq lists it as uncharacterized. The transcript is spliced from 3 exons. NCBI's taxonomy places the organism in Eukaryota, Metazoa, Chordata, Aves, Passeriformes, Passerellidae. The record is from RefSeq and is a predicted model, not a curated record.
GCCAAGCUGUGUCGGGACUCUGGAAACAGAGUCAUGAGUUUCCUUAUUAUCUUUUUAGCAUUGAACCAGAUAUUGCACAUCUGAAGCAGUGCCAAGUCCCAUGAGAUCAAUGAAACUUUUCACCUUAACCAGAAAGCAGGAUAUCAGUUUGUUUUCAUGGGUUAAUCUUUGUGAUCAUGAGCAAAGCAAUCAUCUGUGGCAGGCAAAGAUUUCCAGUCAGCCGGCUUGACAUUUUUCUAUGAAAUGACUAUGAAAUGAUACAGCUAAAGGGCAGUAUGCCAAGGAAUGACCAAUUCAAGCAUGGCAAAUAUUGACUGAAACAGAAUAUUUCAGAGUAUGAGGGGCUCACUUGGAUUUUUCCAUAAGCACCUCAAACAUAAUCAGCAUUUGCAUUCUCAGAAUUUCCACCUGCUUUACAGCCAUGCCUUCACACCCAGCAGCAAGAGAAGCUCAUCACACUGUCUGCUCUGUAGGUAAAUAAUUGAAAAAAUGGA